RNAcentral lists this non-coding RNA (780 nucleotides) under Euroglyphus maynei. Its description in RNAcentral is "Eukaryotic large subunit ribosomal RNA". It matches the Rfam family "Eukaryotic large subunit ribosomal RNA", at positions 1160 to 1956 of the family's 3401-position model. The record is from Rfam by way of RNAcentral. Lineage: Eukaryota; Metazoa; Arthropoda; Arachnida; Sarcoptiformes; Pyroglyphidae.
GGGAUGCUCCUAACGUUUGGCUAAGGUGUCCAAUAGCAGCUUAUCAGAUACCAUAAAAGGUGUUGAUUCAUUGAAACAGCAGGACGGUGGUCAUGGAAGUUGAAAUCCGCUAAGGAGUGUGUAACAACUCACCUGCCGAAUGAACCAGCCCUGAAAAUGGAUGACGCUCAAGCAGCUAACCGAUACCAAACCGUCUACGUAGAAUUGUGGACGUGUAGGAGGGCGUGAAGAUAACGCAGAAGGUUUGGAUGUGAAUCUGACUGGAGUUGUCUUUAGUGCAGAUCUUGGUGUUAGUAGCAACUAGUCGUAUGAGAAUUGCGACGACCGAAGUGGAUAAGGGUUCCGGGCGAACAGUGUUUGGACCCGGGUUAGUCGGUCCUAAGAGAAAACUUUAAAAGUUGAGACAGUUGUUUUACAACGAUUCUCGAAAGGGAAUAAGGCUUAAAUUCCUUAACUACAAAUUGCAUUGUGGUGACACAGUAUGAACCGUUUCGUCAUUGCUUGUGCCCGAGAGCGUUGCCAUCGCUCUGUAAAUUACUGAGUCUUUGGAAUCGGAUCAACCGGAGAAAAAGAUUACUGUGAUGAAUCGUAGUCACUAUAUAGAGGCUAUUGGGUAAAUAAGCACUGGCCUUUGAAACAGCGGUGGUUGAAAAUGCAUUUGUAUCCGUACCCUAAACCGCAUCAGGUCUCCUAGGUUUACAGCCUCUGGUUUAAUAGAAGCAGGUAGAUGAGGGAAGUCGGCAAAAUAGAUCCGUACCUUCGGAAUAAGGAUUGGCUCUG